AUUGAACGCUGGCGGCAUGCCUUACACAUGCAAGUCGAACGGUAACAGGUUAAGCUGACGAGUGGCGAACGGGUGAGUAAUGUAUCGGAACGUGCCCAGUCGUGGGGGAUAACUGCUCGAAAGAGCAGCUAAUACCGCAUACGACCUGAGGGUGAAAGCGGGGGAUCGCAAGACCUCGCGCGAUUGGAGCGGCCGAUAUCAGAUUAGGUGGUUGGUGAGGUAAAGGCUCACCAAGCCGACGAUCUGUAGCUGGUCUGAAAGGACGACCAGCCACACUGGGACUGAGACACGGCCCAGACUCCUACGGGAGGCAGCAGUGGGGAAUUUUGGACAAUGGGCGCAAGCCUGGUCCAGCCAUGCCGCGUGCGGGAAGAAGGCCUUCCGGUUGGAAACCGCUUUUGUCAGGGAAGAAAAGGUUCUGGCUAAUACCUGGGACUCAUGACGGUACCUGAAGAAUAAGCACCGGCUAACUACGUG
This 477-nucleotide ribosomal RNA is filed under the name uncultured bacterium. Its description in RNAcentral is "partial 16S ribosomal RNA". It matches the Rfam family "Bacterial small subunit ribosomal RNA", at positions 30 to 507 of the family's 1533-position model. The record is from RNAcentral.